AGAGUUUGAUCCUGGCUCAGGAUGAACGCUAGCGGCAGGCUUAAUACAUGCAAGUCGAGGGGCAGCAGGUUUGUAGCAAUACAAAUGCUGGCGACCGGCAAACGGGUGCGGAACACGUACACAACCUUCCUUUAAGUGGAGAAUAGCCCAGGGAAACUUGGAUUAAUACUCCGUAACAUAUAGAAGUGGCAUCACUUUUAUAUUAUAGCUCCGGCGCCUAGAGAUGGGUGUGCGGCUGAUUAGGUAGUUGGCGGGGUAACGGCCCACCAAGCCUGCGAUCAGUAACUGGUGUGAGAGCACGACCAGUCACACGGGCACUGAGACACGGGCCCGACUCCUACGGGAGGCAGCAGUAAGGAAUAUUGGUCAAUGGACGCAAGUCUGAACCAGCCAUGCCGCGUGGAGGAUGAAGGUCCUCUGGAUUGUAAACUUCUUUUAUCUGGGAAGGAAUCCAUUUUUUCUAAAAUGGUUGACGGUACCAGAUGAAUAAGCACCGGCUAACUUCGUGCCAGCAGCCGCGGUAAUACGAAGGGUGCAAGCGUUACUCGGAAUUACUGGGCGUAAAGCGUGCGUAGGUGGUUCGUUAAGUCUGAUGUGGAAGCCCUGGGCUCAACCUGGGAAUUGCAUUGGAUACUGGCGAGCUAGAGUGCGGUAGAGGAUGGCGGAAUUCCCGGUGUAGCAGUGAAAUGCGUAGAGAUCGGGAGGAACAUCUGUGGCGAAGGCGGCCAUCUGGACCAGCACUGACACUGAGGCACGAAAGCGUGGGGAGCAAACAGGAUUAGAUACCCUGGUAGUCC
This 797-nucleotide ribosomal RNA is filed under the name uncultured bacterium. Its description in RNAcentral is "bacterial SSU rRNA". It matches the Rfam family "Bacterial small subunit ribosomal RNA", at positions 8 to 796 of the family's 1533-position model. The record is from RNAcentral.